UACGGAGGGUGCAAGCGUUAUCCGGAUUUACUGGGUUUAAAGGGUGCGUAGGUGGAUAAGUAAGUCAGUGGUGAAAUCUCCGGGCUUAACCCGGAAACUGCCAUUGAUACUAUUUGUCUUGAAUACUUUGGAGGUAAGCGGAAUAUGUCAUGUAGCGGUGAAAUGCUUAGAUAUCAGGAGGAACACCUGCGGUGUAGACGGCUUACUGGACCAUAACUGACGCUGAGGCACGAAAGCGUGGGUAGCAAACAGG
Molecule: ribosomal RNA, 253 nt
Filed under: uncultured bacterium
Lineage: Bacteria
Description: partial 16S ribosomal RNA
Rfam family: Bacterial small subunit ribosomal RNA
Source: RNAcentral